This is a long non-coding RNA of Phragmites australis (common reed), 909 nucleotides long. RefSeq lists it as uncharacterized. The record is from RefSeq and is a predicted model, not a curated record. The transcript is spliced from 3 exons. Lineage: Eukaryota; Viridiplantae; Streptophyta; Magnoliopsida; Poales; Poaceae.
CCGAGCCAGCCCUCAGUUCAUCGCUGUUCUUUCUCCCGUUUGUCUCUCCCUAGACCCACCGUUCCCUAGCCUGGUUACCGGACGGCGAGCUCCAAGGCAGCGCGCCCUCCUAGCCACGGCAAGAAUAGGUUGACAAGAUCGUGCCCCCUCCCCUCUCCCUUGUCCGCCCCAAGACCACGUCCCCUGGUGUGCAAGUCGCCCCCUCCCCUCCCCUAGACCCUAGCUGCGAAAUCGGCAGCUUGUUCAGCCGUUUAGGUGGUAGCCUUCGAUCUGGGGACCAACCGUAGUGUGUACGAUUUCGAGAAGACAACGACGCAGGCGGCGCAGCGGCCGGCGCUUGGCUCGGUUCCGCAGGUCCAAGCUUGCGAAGGAGGAGGCCGACGGCAUGGACUGUGAAGAGGAGGCCGGUGGCAUGGAGAACGACCCGACUGAUGCCGCUGUGGAGCUUUGUUAAGCAGUGAUAGAACCAACGACUGCGGGGGCUGUUACAUAUUGUGUGCAAGCACCUGUUCAAUUGGUUGAUUGGGAUGCACUAUAGAUUGAAGAAACACAUGACGAGGAAGGAAGGUUAGAAGUUGCUAGUGAAGAGCAACUGUAUGUGCUUUUGGGCUUGAGGGAUAUGAUGAGAGGGCAGAAAAGGCUAGAGAGGCUAGCUGGUACUAAAACAUAUGUUAGAUGUUCGACAGCCCGUUAGGAAGCAUAUGUUUUUGGUGGGAACAUCUCUUCUUUUGAAGCCUCCAACUUAAUUUUCUUUUCCUGGUUACUGAUGAUGUCCCAUGUAAGCCGGGUCCUAAUCCUAUAGCCAUUGUGGCUUCAGUUCCCCUCGAGGAUCGUCUUCCAUGAAUCACCUCAACCACAGGUGACCUCUGUAUAGAUAUGAAGCUAAUGAGCAAUAGAUAUAUUUGUAGA